UACGAGUACAGCGGCGGACGGGUGAGUAACGCGUAGGAAUCUACCUAGUAGAAGGGGAUAGCCCGGGGAAACCUGGAUUAAUACCGUAUACCUCCUUCGGGAGAAAGAAGGCCUCUCUUUGAAGCUUUCGCUACUAGAUGAGCCUGCGUAAGAUUAGCUUGUUGGUGAGGUAAAGGCUCACCAAGGCAACGAUCUUUAGCUGGUCUGAGAGGACGAUCAGCCACAUUGGGACUGAGACACGGCCCAGACUCCUACGGGAGGCAGCAGUGGGGAAUAUUGGACAAUGGGCGCAAGCCUGAUCCAGCCAUACCGCGUGUGUGAAGAAGGCCUUCGGGUUGUAAAGCACUUUAAGCAGGGAGAAAAAGUUAUAAGCUAAUACCUUAUAACCUUGAUGUUACCUGCAGAAUAAGCACCGGCUAAUUCCGUGCCAGCAGCCGCGGUAAUACGGAAGGUGCAAGCGUUAAUCGGAAUUACUGGGCGUAAAGCGCGCGUAGGUGGUUUGUUAAGUUGGAUGUGAAAGCCCUGGGCUCAACCUAGGAACUGCAUCUGAAACUAACUCACUAGAGUACGAUAGAGGGAGGUAGAAUUCAUAGUGUAGCGGUGGAAUGCGUAGAUAUUAUGAAGAAUACCAGUGGCGAAGGCGGCCUCCUGGAUCUGUACUGACACUGAGGUGCGAAAGCGUGGGUAGCGAACAGGAUUAGAUACCCUGGUAGUCCACGCCGUAAACGAUGACAACUAGCUGUUAGGAGACUAUGUCUUUUAGUGGCGCAGCUAACGUUUUAAGUUGUCCGCCUGGGGAGUACGGCCGCAAGGUUAAAACUCAAAUGAAUUGACGGGGACCCGCACAAGCAGUGGACCAUGUGGUUUAAUUCGAUGCAACGCGAAAACCUUACCUACUCUUGACAU
Molecule: ribosomal RNA, 906 nt
Filed under: uncultured bacterium
Lineage: Bacteria
Description: bacterial SSU rRNA
Rfam family: Bacterial small subunit ribosomal RNA
Source: RNAcentral